RNAcentral lists this ribosomal RNA (253 nucleotides) under uncultured bacterium. RNAcentral's name for it is "partial 16S ribosomal RNA". It matches the Rfam family "Bacterial small subunit ribosomal RNA", at positions 524 to 776 of the family's 1533-position model. The record is from RNAcentral.
AACGUAGGUACCGAGCGUUAUCCGGAUUUACUGGGCGUAAAGCGCGUUCAGGCGGUUUGGCAAGUCGGGCAUGAAAUCUCUCGGCUCAACCGGGAGAGGUUGUCCGAUACUUCCAGACUUGAGGGCAGUAGAGGGUGGUGGAAUUCCGGGUGUAGUGGUGAAAUGCGUAGAUAUCCGGAGGAACACCAGUGGCGAAAGCGGCCACCUGGACUGCACCUGACGCUGACACGCGGAAGCUAGGGGAGCGAACGGG